CACGCCGUAAACGAUGGGCACUAGGUGUGGGAGGUGUCGACUCCUCCCGUGCCGUCGCUAACGCACUAAGUGCCCCGCCUGGGGAGUACGGCCGCAAGGCUAAAACUCAAAGGAAUUGACGGGGGCCCGCACAAGCAGCGGAGCAUGUGGUUUAAUUCGACGCAACGCGAAGAACCUUACCUGGGCUUGACAUGUAGGUGACUGCCGUGGAAACACGGUUUUCCUUCGGGACACCUUCACAGGUGGUGCAUGGCUGUCUUCAUCUCAUGUUUUGUUAUGU
Molecule: ribosomal RNA, 280 nt
Filed under: uncultured bacterium
Lineage: Bacteria
Description: partial 16S ribosomal RNA
Rfam family: Bacterial small subunit ribosomal RNA
Source: RNAcentral